GGUCUGUAGCUCAGGUGGUUAGAGCGCACCCCUGAUAAGGGUGAGGUCGGUGGUUCGAGUCCACUCAGAAACCG
This 74-nucleotide transfer RNA is filed under the name Aeromonas salmonicida. RNAcentral describes it as "tRNA-Ile". It matches the Rfam family "tRNA". From Rfam's summary of the family: Transfer RNA (tRNA) molecules are approximately 80 nucleotides in length. Their secondary structure includes four short double-helical elements and three loops (D, anti-codon, and T loops). Lineage: Bacteria; Pseudomonadati; Pseudomonadota; Gammaproteobacteria; Aeromonadales; Aeromonadaceae. The record is from RNAcentral. RNAcentral also lists the same sequence under 1 other name.